AUCAUGGUUUUCCAGGUGGUUCUGGGGAAUCCCACUGAAAUUUUGUGUUGGGUUCCUAAGGUUCCCCAUGGCAAGAGGUGACAGAGUUGAUGAGAGCUGUGGAAGCUCUGCUUGGGAGCCCUCCUGAGAGGAGCAGAGCUGCAAAUCCAGGGCAGGAGCCCAAGGUCCCAGCAGAGGCUGCAGUGGGAGCUGUGCCCCCCCUGCCCAGCCUGGCCACUGAGAAGAAACCACAAGGGCAGGAUCCUGAGCUGGCUCAGCUCUGGGAGCUGUUCAGCAGCAAAGAUGCUUUUUCCAGCCUGCCUGGGCAUGAAGAGCAUGGUUCAGAUCUCCCCUUGGCUUAUCUGACUGAGCUGGAGGUGGAGGGUCUGGUGGCAGCUCCCCCCCUUGCCAAGAACCUGUGUGAGAUCAAGAAAGCUUUGGUGAAUCUGCAUCAACCCUCAGCCCUUGGCAAUUCAGACAGCAAACACCAAGCCAGCCUGGGGAGCUCAGGCCUCUUCUGAUGGAUGCCUGGGAUGGAGCCCUGCAGCUGGGAUAAAGAGGAGCUGCACUCUCAGAGCAGGGACAGGAGCAGGAGGAUUUCAUGUUCUGCACAGUAAAACAGCCACCAACUCAUUCCUGGAGGAGCUGAGCUUAUCCUGGGCCAUGGAUGAGGUUGGGCUGGGGAGGGAGGGGGUGUCUGGGACAGAGCAGCUUUACCUGAGUAUCAGAACAGACACAAAUUUAAUUAAGGAUGUGUUUGGUCAAAUAUGUGAUGACGAAUCCAUAUUCUUUUUGCUUAACCUUGACACAUUUUCAUAUUUGCUGUGGAUUAUCAGUAAUUUGUAGGCUGGAGAAGGAGGGGGAAGUUCUUAGUGUCAUUGAUUUUGUGUUUUUUGUUGUUAAGCCAAUAAAAAAAUAAACAGAAGAGCA
This 909-nucleotide long non-coding RNA is filed under the name Zonotrichia albicollis (white-throated sparrow). RNAcentral's name for it is "lncRNA (ENSZALG00000005908.1)". Lineage: Eukaryota; Metazoa; Chordata; Aves; Passeriformes; Passerellidae. The record is from RNAcentral.